UACGUAGGGAGCAAGCGUUAUCCGGAUUUACUGGGUGUAAAGGGCGCGUAGGCGGGAUGGCAAGUCAGAUGUGAAAUCCAAGGGCUCAACCCUUGAACUGCAUUUGAAACUGUCGUUCUUGAGUACUGGAGAGGUUGACGGAAUUCCUAGUGUAGCGGUGAAAUGCGUAGAUAUUAGGAGGAACACCAGUGGCGAAGGCGGUCAACUGGACAGCAACUGACGCUGAGGCGCGAAAGCGUGGGGAGCAA
RNAcentral lists this ribosomal RNA (248 nucleotides) under uncultured Oscillospiraceae bacterium. RNAcentral describes it as "partial 16S ribosomal RNA". It matches the Rfam family "Bacterial small subunit ribosomal RNA", at positions 524 to 771 of the family's 1533-position model. Lineage: Bacteria; Bacillati; Bacillota; Clostridia; Eubacteriales; Oscillospiraceae. The record is from RNAcentral.